Xiphophorus hellerii (green swordtail) is the source of this 116-nucleotide long non-coding RNA. RefSeq lists it as uncharacterized. The transcript is spliced from 4 exons. The record is from RefSeq and is a predicted model, not a curated record. Lineage: Eukaryota; Metazoa; Chordata; Actinopteri; Cyprinodontiformes; Poeciliidae.
UCUGCUCUGGCUUCUCAAACCUCCAGGCGGUCGUGGCAGACGGCCGCUUGUACUGAACCAGGUUCUAAUUCUGCUGGAGGUUUCUUCCUGUUUGGGGAGGUUUUUUAUUCUCACUG